UACGGGAGGCAGCAGUGAGGAAUAUUGGUCAAUGGGCGAGAGCCUGAACCAGCCAAGUAGCGUGAAGGAUGACUGCCCUAUGGGUUGUAAACUUCUUUUAUAAAGGAAUAAAGUCGGGUAUGGAUACCCGUUUGCAUGUACUUUAUGAAUAAGGAUCGGCUAACUCCGUGCCAGCAGCCGCGGUAAUACGGAGGAUCCGAGCGUUAUCCGGAUUUAUUGGGUUUAAAGGGAGCGUAGAUGGAUGUUUAAGUCAGUUGUGAAAGUUUGCGGCUCAACCGUAAAAUUGCAGUUGAUACUGGAUAUCUUGAGUGCAGUUGAGGCAGGCGGAAUUCGUGGUGUAGCGGUGAAAUGCUUAGAUAUCACGAAGAACUCCGAUUGCGAAGGCAGCCUGCUAAGCUGCAACUGACAUUGAGGCUCGAAAGUGUGGGUAUCAAACAGGAUUAGAUACCCUGGUAGUCCACACGGUAAACGAUGAAUACUCGCUGUUUGCGAUAUACGGCAAGCGGCCAAGCGAAA
RNAcentral lists this ribosomal RNA (516 nucleotides) under uncultured bacterium. RNAcentral's name for it is "bacterial SSU rRNA". It matches the Rfam family "Bacterial small subunit ribosomal RNA", at positions 340 to 856 of the family's 1533-position model. The record is from RNAcentral.